RNAcentral lists this ribosomal RNA (513 nucleotides) under uncultured bacterium. Its description in RNAcentral is "partial 16S ribosomal RNA". It matches the Rfam family "Bacterial small subunit ribosomal RNA", at positions 28 to 523 of the family's 1533-position model. The record is from RNAcentral.
GAUGAACGCUGGCGGCGUGCCUAAUACAUGCAAGUCGAGCGCGAGAGUGAGAAGCUUGCUUCUCUGAUGUUAGCGGCGGACGGGUGAGUAACACGUGGGUAACCUACCUAUAAGACUGGGAUAACUCCGGGAAACCGGGGCUAAUACCGGAUAAUAUUUUGAACCGCAUGGUUCAAUAGUGAAAGACGGUUUCGGCUGUCACUUAUAGAUGGACCCGCGCCGUAUUAGCUAGUUGGUAAGGUAACGGCUUACCAAGCGACGAUACGUAGCCGACCUGAGAGGGUGAUCGGCCACACUGGAACUGAGACACGGUCCAGACUCCUACGGGAGGCAGCAGUAGGGAAUCUUCCGCAAUGGGCGAAAGCCUGACGGAGCAACGCCGCGUGAGUGAUGAAGGUCUUCGGAUCGUAAAACUCUGUUGUUAGGGAAGAACAAAUUUGUUAGUAACUGAACAAGUCUUGACGGUACCUAACCAGAAAGCCACGGCUAACUACGUGCCAGCCGCCGCGGUAA